This 59-nucleotide microRNA precursor is filed under the name Alligator mississippiensis (American alligator). Its description in RNAcentral is "Ami-Mir-2184_pre stem-loop". Lineage: Eukaryota; Metazoa; Chordata; Crocodylia; Alligatoridae. The record is from RNAcentral.
AACAGUAAGAGUUUAUGUGCGGUGAGAGCUGGAAUCUGCAUGUGAACUCCUACUGCUCC